This 937-nucleotide ribosomal RNA is filed under the name uncultured bacterium. Its description in RNAcentral is "bacterial SSU rRNA". It matches the Rfam family "Bacterial small subunit ribosomal RNA", at positions 444 to 1397 of the family's 1533-position model. The record is from RNAcentral.
GAAGAAGAACUGACGGUACUUGAUGAAUAAGCCACGGCUAAUUCCGUGCCAGCAGCCGCGGUAAUACGGGAGUGGCAAGCGUUAUCCGGAAUUAUUGGGCGUAAAGCGUCCGCAGGCGGUUUUACAAGUCUGUCGUUAAAGCGUGGAGCUCAACUCCAUUUCAGCGAUGGAAACUGUAAGACUCGAGUGUGGUAGGGGCAGAGGGAAUUCCCGGUGUAGCGGUGAAAUGCGUAGAUAUCGGGAAGAACACCAGUGGCGAAAGCGCUCUGCUGGGCCAUAACUGACGCUCAUGGACGAAAGCCAGGGGAGCGAAAGGGAUUAGAUACCCCUGUAGUCCUGGCCGUAAACGAUGAACACUAGGUGUCGGGGGAAUCGACCCCCUCGGUGUCGUAGCCAACGCGUUAAGUGUUCCGCCUGGGGAGUACGCACGCAAGUGUGAAACUCAAAGGAAUUGACGGGGGCCCGCACAAGCGGUGGAGUAUGUGGUUUAAUUCGAUGCAACGCGAAGAACCUUACCAGGGCUUGACAUCCUGCGAAUCCCUUGGAAACGAGGGAGUGCCUUCGGGAGCGCAGAGACAGGUGGUGCAUGGCUGUCGUCAGCUCGUGUCGUGAGAUGUUGGGUUAAGUCCCGCAACGAGCGCAACCCACGUCUUUAGUUGCCAGCAUUUAGUUGGGCACUCUAGAGAGACCGCCGGUGACAAACCGGAGGAAGGUGUGGAUGACGUCAAGUCAUCAUGCCCCUUACGUCCUGGGCUACACACGUACUACAAUGCUACGGACAAAGAGCAGCAAACUCGCGAGGGCAAGCAAAUCUCAUAAACCGUGGCUCAGUUCAGAUCGUAGGCUGCAACUCGCCUACGUGAAGGAGGAAUCGCUAGUAAUCGCAGGUCAGCAUACUGCGGUGAAUACGUUCCCGGGCCUUGUACACACCGCCCGU